UUCUCCUACGGGGGGCAGCAGUGGGGAAUAUUGGACAAUGGGGGGAACCCUGAUCCAGCGACGCCGCGUGAGUGAAGAAGUAUGUCGGUAUGUAAAGCUCUAUCAGCAGGGAAGAAAAUGACGGUACCUGACUAAGAAGCCCCGGCUAACUACGUGCCAGCAGCCGCGGUAAUACGUAGGGGGCAAGCGUUAUCCGGAUUUACUGGGUGUAAAGGGAGCGUAGACGGUCCGUUAAGUCAGCGGUAAAAUUGCGGGGCUCAACCCCGUCGAGCCGUUGAAACUGGCAGACUUGAGUUGGCGAGAAG
RNAcentral lists this ribosomal RNA (305 nucleotides) under uncultured bacterium. RNAcentral's name for it is "bacterial SSU rRNA". It matches the Rfam family "Bacterial small subunit ribosomal RNA", at positions 334 to 657 of the family's 1533-position model. The record is from RNAcentral.